UCACCUGGAGACCUUGUUAAAGUGCAGUAGGACUGGCGUGGAUCCCAAGAAUCUACAUUUCUAACAAGUUCCCAGGUGAUGCUA
RNAcentral lists this microRNA precursor (84 nucleotides) under Choloepus hoffmanni (Hoffmann's two-fingered sloth). RNAcentral describes it as "miRNA (ENSCHOG00000015835.1)". Lineage: Eukaryota; Metazoa; Chordata; Mammalia; Pilosa; Megalonychidae. The record is from RNAcentral.